CCCUUAGAUGUCCUGGGCCGCACGCGCGCUACACUGAUCAGUGCAACAAGCAUCCGUCCUUGGCCGACAGGCCCGGGCAAUCUUUGAACGCUGAUCGUGAUGGGGAUAGACUUUUGCAAUUUUUGGUCUUCAACGAGGAAUUCCUAGUAAACGCAAGUCAUCAACUUGCAUUGAUUACGUCCCUGCCCUUUGUACACACCGCCCGUCGCACCUACCGAUUGAAUGGUCCGGUGAAGCCUCCGGAUUGGCGUGCACCCUCGGGUGCUGCCGAGAAGUUGGCUAAACCUUACCAUUUAGAGGAAGGUGAANUCGUAACA
This 317-nucleotide ribosomal RNA is filed under the name uncultured eukaryote. RNAcentral's name for it is "partial 18S ribosomal RNA". It matches the Rfam family "Eukaryotic small subunit ribosomal RNA", at positions 1470 to 1796 of the family's 1831-position model. The record is from RNAcentral.